This 462-nucleotide unclassified non-coding RNA is filed under the name Hevea brasiliensis (rubber tree). Lineage: Eukaryota; Viridiplantae; Streptophyta; Magnoliopsida; Malpighiales; Euphorbiaceae. The record is from RNAcentral.
AGAGAAAAAAAAAAACAAAAAGAUACUCCUGUACUUAAGGGAAAAGAACAUCUCCCAUUGCCAGAGCUUAAAAGGAUACUGAAAUUAUAGGGACCUAAAGGCUUCAAACAGCAGUUGAAUUUUGGUAACUGAGGUAGCAUGGCCCACUAGUGCCUGCUUGCUUGACCAAAAAUAGUAGUAAAGUCCAUAUCUAUUCAUGCUUUAAUGAGUUUUGUCUUUCCUACUUCACGUUUGCACCAAUUUAAUACAUGUAAGUAUGCGUACCUUUUCCAUGCAACUAUUUGGUUGAUGAAACAACAAAAUUAUUAGAAAGAAAGGAACAUAAUAAAACCAGUCCAAAUUCAAAAGGACAGAACAGCCAGAAAAUUAAAAAUAUUAAGCACUUAUGACAUCGGUAUUUUAUAAAAGCAGAAUCAAACACAAAACUUCUACUGUGCCCUUGCUCUGAAUUUGACUUACUGA